GUAGUUAGCCGGGGCUUCCUCCUAAAGUACCGUCAUUUGUUUCGUCCUUUAGGACAGAGAUUUACAAUCCGAAAACCUUCUUCUCUCACGCGGCAUUGCUGGGUCAGGGUUUCCCCCAUUGCCCAAUAUUCCCCACUGCUGCCUCCCGUAGGAGUCUGGACCGUGUCUCAGUUCCAGUGUGGCCGUUCAUCCUCUCAGACCGGCUACCCAUCGUUGGCUUGGUAGGCCGUUACCCUACCAACUACCUAAUGGGACGCGAGCCCGUCUCAAAGCGGAUUGCUCCUUUGACCACCAGAGCACUCGCUCCUGUGGUCUUAUGCGGUAUUAGCACAGUUUUCACUGUGUUAUUCCCCUCUUUGAGGUUGGUUGCUCACGCAUUACUCACCCGUUCGCCACUGAGGUAAUCACCGAAAUGUUUACCUCCGUUCGACUUGCAUGUGUUAGGCAUGCCGCCAGCGUUCGUCCUGAGCCAGAAUCAAACUCUGA
RNAcentral lists this ribosomal RNA (486 nucleotides) under uncultured bacterium. RNAcentral's name for it is "partial 16S ribosomal RNA". The record is from RNAcentral.